This is a long non-coding RNA of Haemorhous mexicanus (house finch), 2818 nucleotides long. RefSeq lists it as uncharacterized. The record is from RefSeq and is a predicted model, not a curated record. NCBI's taxonomy places the organism in Eukaryota, Metazoa, Chordata, Aves, Passeriformes, Fringillidae. The transcript is spliced from 3 exons.
CCCCCCCCCGCAUUCCCCCGUGGCUCCCAAUAACAUUCCAAUGCACCUUUACUAAUCCAUCCCAGUGCCCCCUCAAUUCCCUCCUAGUACCCCCCAGUGCCCACCAGUAACUACCCAGUAACUUCCCAGUCCCCACCCACUUUCUCCCAGUCCAUCCCAGUGCCCUUCCAGUUACUCCCAGUCUCCUCGCAGUGCCCACAAAUUACCACGCAGUAACUUCCCAGUAUGUUUAAGUCCCUCCCAGUCCUAUCCAGUCCACACAAACCAAUUCCCAGUCUCUGCCAGUCAUAUCCCAGUGCUCCCAGUAUCCCCUCUAGUCUCUUACAGUUUCUCUCAGUCCAUCCCAGUCUCCUUCCAGUAGCUCCCAGUAUAUUCCAGUCCCCUCCAGUGCCCACAACCCCCUUCCCAGUCCAUCCCAGUUGCCACCAGUGCCUCCCAAUGCCCCCCAGUAUCUUCCCAGUUUACAGAACUGUUCCCUUCCCAGAACACCCUGUUCAUCCCAGUCCAUCCCAGUGCUCACAGUCCAUUCCAGUCCCCACCAAUCCCUCCCAGUUCUCCAGUUCUUCCCCAGUGUUUUCCAGUCCCUCUCAGUUCCCUCCCAGUACCCUCCACUGCUCCCAGUUUCUCUAAAUCCCUUCCAGUAUCUCCCAGUGCCUCCCAGUCCUCCCCAAUCUCAGUCCUUUGAAGUACAAAUAAAUCCCCUCCCAGUUUGUCCUAGUGCUCCCAGUUUCCCCUCCUAGUUUGUCCCAGUUCUCCCAGUUUCCCCUCUCAUACCCUCCCAGUUCCCUUCCAGUUCCUUCCAGUCUCCUAAUGGCUCCCAGGACCCCCCAGUGUCCACCAGUAACUUCCCAGUUCCUCCCAGUACAUCCCAGUCCCAUCCAGUGCCCACAAACCCCUUCUCAGUAUAUUCCAGUUGCCAUCAGUCCCUCCCAUCCAUAUCCCAGUCCCUUCCAGUUAGUCCCAGUAGCUGCCCAGAAGCUUCCCAGUCCAUCCCAGUUCCCUGUCCCAGCAUGGGCAGCUAAGCUCCACCCCCUAGACUCCACCUGGCACCAGCAGUGGGAGGAGAAACUCAGGCAGUACUGGGAGGCCGUGGAUACCUUACUGGGGGUACCGGGGGUGCCACCCGCCCAGGUGCUGUCCCUGAUCAGCAUCAUCCUGGUGGCCAAUCCCAUUGUGGACACCUGCUGGAACCUGUGUGGACUGGGAGCACUGGGAGGGGGACUGGGAGUGAACCCCAAAUCUGUACCAUAGGCACGGGGAACAAAGACACACAGAGCUCCUUGCUUGCUCCAAAGAAGAGAAUUUAUUGUAACGAACCGAGCCUUUUUGUACUCAAAACUUCACCAAAACUUUACCCAAACAAGCCCGCAUUGGCUCCCUGCCACUGCAGUGUCGCUGUUGGUGUGUCCCUUGACCCAAUCAGCUCUCAGAUCAUGUGGUGUCCACGCGUCUCCCCAGCCAAUCACUGCCUCACACACAAGGUGACCACUAAUCCAUUCUCUGGCCAUCCAGCCCACAGCUGAACCCUUCCCAGAGUGCCUUUUGGUGAUCGGAAGUGAACAGAAGAGAACAGGAUUUAACAAAGGUGAAAAAGGUCCUUAUUCUGUAAGGCUUUUCUUAUUUCCCACAGUUUUGGAACCCAAUGGAACAAGGGCUCUACUGUGACUCAGAGAAGCCUCAUUGAACCAAAGAUACCAUAGUGAGAAGGUUUGGAACCUCAUGGAUCCAGGACUCCAGUAUGAUACAGUGGGGCCUCAUGGAGCUCAGGAGACCCUAGUGAGGGAUUGGAACCUCAUGAAAGCAAGGCUCUGAUGUGAUCUAGCUGGACCUCACGGCAUGCAGAUGGCCACUUCAGUUGAUGGUACUCAUGUGAAAAAGGCAUGCAGCAUGGAACCCAAGAGACCCGAGUGAGCUUAUGGAGCCUCAUUAAACCACAGUUCCAAUGUGUCACAGCAGGGCUUCAUGGAACGCAGGAGAGCAUCAUGAGGUUAUUGAACCCAAUGGAAACAGGGCUCUAAUGAGACUUAGUGGAGCCUCAUGGAACCCAAGAGACCCUCAUGGAACCAAGGCUGCAGUAUGUCACAGAGGGACCUCAUGGAACCCAGGAGAGCAUUGUGAGGCUAUGGAACAAUAUGGCACCAAGGUUCUACUAUGGCUUGACAGGACCUCAUGGAAGCAAGGACAAUUGCGAGCCUAUGGGACUUAGCGCUGCAGGUGGAUUUUCUGUUUCCUCCUGGGAUGCUGGUGGAAAAUAAAGCCUGAGGCAGCCUCCCAUGUGUCUGGCUGUAUCAUCAGUGUGGGGGAAAUUUGUCAACCCUGGCCCUACUGCUGCUCCUGGCUGGGCUUGAAGAUACUGGGACAUGGGUGUGAGGGGAGUCUUGAUGUUCCUCCUCCUUGAGGCAGAGUGGGAAUUUUCCAGAGUGGAAAUCCAUUUUAAAUUAGGUGAAAUGUGCAUCUUUGAGUUAAGUCUGUAGCUUGCUGUUUAGUCUGACUGCCUGUACUUGUGAAGGGCCUGAGCUUGGAGGGACCGCUUCAGCUGAAGGACAAGAGAUAAGGGGGGAGGGGAGAGGGGGGAGCAGACAGAGCAGGGCAACCUGACCCAGGAGUUGUUUCUGAUAAAGAAGAAUUAGUGGCAAAUGUCACACGAAAUCAGUAGAAUGAAUAUGUAUGAACCUAUUGUGAAAUUGCAUGCAUAUGUAUUUGAGAGGGAAAAAAAUGGGAUCUGGAGUUCCCAGAGGUAGGCAUGUCAUUUUAGGGGAACGAUUCCCACAUGCGUCCAGCGCGUAAUAAACAUACCAGCUUUACAACUUUCAGAAAA